This 356-nucleotide ribosomal RNA is filed under the name uncultured bacterium. RNAcentral's name for it is "bacterial SSU rRNA". It matches the Rfam family "Bacterial small subunit ribosomal RNA", at positions 29 to 417 of the family's 1533-position model. The record is from RNAcentral.
AGCGAACGCUGGCGGCAGGCCUAACACAUGCAAGUCGAGCGCCCAGCAAUGGGAGCGGCAGACGGGAUAGUAACACGUGGGAACGUACCUUUCAGUUCGGAACAACCCAGGGAAACUUGGGCUAAUACCGAAUACGUCCGUAAGGAGAAAGAUUUAUCGCUGAAAGAUCGGCCCGCGUCUGAUUAGCUAGUUGGUGAGGUAAUGGCUCACCAAGGCGACGAUCAGUAGCNGUUCUGAGAGAUGAUCAGCCACAUUGGGACUGAGACACGGCCCAAACUCCUACGGGAGGCAGCAGUGGGAAUAUUGGACAAUGGGGAAACCCUGAUCCAGCCAUGCCGCGUGAGUGAUGAAGGCCC